UGAAGGGUAGCCUAGUGGUCAUGGCAUCUGCCCAGUAAGCUGAACACUGUGGGUUCGAUUACCAUCCCUGGGCACUUUAU
RNAcentral lists this transfer RNA (80 nucleotides) under Cordylochernes scorpioides. RNAcentral describes it as "tRNA-Thr". The stretch from base 4 to 69 matches the Rfam family "tRNA". From Rfam's summary of the family: Transfer RNA (tRNA) molecules are approximately 80 nucleotides in length. Their secondary structure includes four short double-helical elements and three loops (D, anti-codon, and T loops). The record is from RNAcentral. Lineage: Eukaryota; Metazoa; Arthropoda; Arachnida; Pseudoscorpiones; Chernetidae.